AGGAUGAACGCUAGCUACCAGGCUUACACAUGCAAGUCGAGGGGCAGCAUGGUCUUAGCUUGCUAAGGCCGAUGGCGACCGGCGCACGGGUGAGUAACACGUAUCCAACCUGCCGUCUACUCUUGGACAGCCUUCUGAAAGGAAGAUUAAUACAAGAUGGCAUCAUGAGUCCGCAUGUUCACAUGAUUAAAGGUAUUCCGGUAGACGAUGGGGAUGCGUUCCAUUAGAUAGUAGGCGGGGUAACGGCCCACCUAGUCUUCGAUGGAUAGGGGUUCUGAGAGGAAGGUCCCCCACAUUGGAACUGAGACACGGUCCAAACUCCUACGGGAGGCAGCAGUGAGGAAUAUUGGUCAAUGGGCGAGAGCCUGAACCAGCCAAGUAGCGUGAAGGAUGACUGCCCUAUGGGUUGUAAACUUCUUUUAUAAAGGAAUAAAGUCGGGUAUGGAUACCCGUUUGCAUGUACUUUAUGAAUAAGGAUCGGCUAACUCCGUGCCAGCAGCCGCGGUAAUACGGAGGAUCCGAGCGUUAUCCGGAUUUAUUGGGUUUAAAGGGAGCGUAGAUGGAUGUUUAAGUCAGUUGUGAAAGUUUGCGGCUCAACCGUAAAAUUGCAGUUGAUACUGGAUAUCUUGAGUGCAGUUGAGGCAGGCGGAAUUCGUGGUGUAGCGGUGAAAUGCUUAGAUAUCACGAAGAACUCCGAUUGCGAAGGCAGCCUGCUAAGCUGCAACUGACAUUGAGGCUCGAAAGUGUGGGUAUCAACAGGAUAGAU
This 766-nucleotide ribosomal RNA is filed under the name Bacteroides sp. ES-17. RNAcentral describes it as "bacterial SSU rRNA". It matches the Rfam family "Bacterial small subunit ribosomal RNA", at positions 26 to 783 of the family's 1533-position model. The record is from RNAcentral. Lineage: Bacteria; Pseudomonadati; Bacteroidota; Bacteroidia; Bacteroidales; Bacteroidaceae.